RNAcentral lists this long non-coding RNA (711 nucleotides) under Gossypium barbadense (sea-island cotton). RNAcentral describes it as "long non-coding RNA (GBAR_LNC006747)". The record is from RNAcentral. Lineage: Eukaryota; Viridiplantae; Streptophyta; Magnoliopsida; Malvales; Malvaceae.
GUGGCUUGUAAGGCGGUGCUGGAGUUGUUGGUGGCUUAACUGGAGGUGUAGGAACUGGGGGCUUAUAUGGGGGAGUUGGUGCUUUAGUUGGUGGUGCUGGUGCUGGAGUUGGUGCUUUGGUUGGGGGUGCUGGAGCAGGUGUUGGGGGCUUAUAUGGGGGUGUAGGGGCCUUGACUGGAGGUGCCGGUGCGGGAGUAGGGGGUUUAUAUGGGGGAGUAGGAGCCUUGGUUGGUGGUGUUGGUGCUGGGGGCUUAUAUGGUGGAGUAGGAGCCUUGGUUGGUGGCGCAGGAGCUGGGGGCUUAUAUGGUGGAGUAGGAGCCUUGGUUGGUGGCGCAGGAGCUGGUGGUUUAUAUGGUGGAGUGGGGGCCUUGGUUGGUGGUUUAUAUGGUGGAGUGGGGGCCUUGGUUGGGGGUGCUGGAGUUGGGGCCUUGUACGGCGGUGCCGGAGUGGUGGGAGGCUUAACGGGUGGAGCAGGGAUAGGUGCCUUCACUGGAACAGGAGCAGCAUACUUAAUCUGAACAGUGAUAUGCAACAAAUUUAGCAAAGUUCCAUUUACAGACUAUGGUCUUAUGCACCACAAUGGCUAACAGCAUUCAGUAUGAAAAAAUACAAGAAAGACAUUAUCCAAUAAAAAUAAAAAUAAAACAAGAAUCAGAUUGUUUCAAAAGAACCAAGUUUUAAAUUGUUACAACCUAGACAAGACAAAACAGU